This 1427-nucleotide long non-coding RNA is filed under the name Sus scrofa (pig). Its description in RNAcentral is "lncRNA (ENSSSCG00040045221.1)". The record is from RNAcentral. Lineage: Eukaryota; Metazoa; Chordata; Mammalia; Artiodactyla; Suidae.
CCGGCUCGCCGCUCGGCCGCCUCGGCCCGGCUGCCCGCGCCCCGCUCGGCGCGCCGGCUCCGCGGCCCCGGCCCGGCCGCCUCAGCUCUCGGCUCCGCGGGCUCCUCAGCCGCCGCCUCCGGCCCCNGGCCGGCGCGCGCGGGCGGGGCUGGGUCGCGACGGGCCGUUCCGGGUCCGACCGGUGGGCCGGGUUCGGAUGGAGCCAGGUGCGGGCGGGCGGUGCGGGUCCCACCGGUGGGCCGGGUUCGCACGGAACCAGGUUCGGCUGGGCGGUACCGGGUCCGACCGGUGGGCGGGGUUCCGACGACAGAACUGGGUCUGGCCAGUGGGCGGGGUCGGGCGGGCGGUACGGGUCCGACCGGUGGGCGGGGUUCAGAUGGAACCAGGUUCGGGCGGGCGGUACGGGUCCGACCAGUGGGCGGGGUUCCGACGGGCAGAACUGGGUCUGGCCAGUGGGCGGGGCUCGGGCGGGCGCUACUGGGUCCGACCGGCAGACCGGGUUCGGGCGAGCUUGCUGGGCGGGCCGGCAGUGCGGGAGGGAGGGGACGCGGCGAGCCCCUUGGGGUGCCGACCGCCCCGCACCCCGCGGUCCGGCGCGGGCUCCGGUCCGUCCCUUCCGAGGAGCGCGCGUCAUCGCUGCGGGUGUGGACUGGGGAUCGUGCAGCGCCCCCGGCCGGGUGCCGGGCCCCGCGCCGCGCGUGCUUCUCCCGCAGUGUCGGGUCGGCAAGGCCGCCUCGCCGUGUGUCUCCUUGCAGAGGGUCCGCGAGCGCCCCACGGACUCGAGGCAGCACAAAGUUGCAGCCAUGGGUCCCUUGAGGCGCCUCUGGGCGCAGGGAGAUGCUGCCUCCGCCGCCUGACAGCCUCCGAGUGUCCUGGUGCCUGUGCAGACCUAAGCAUGGAGAUGAUUUUUCUCUCCACCAAUUGGAUCUCUUCUUUUCUGGGAAAGACCAGAGAAUUGUGCCGACCCUGCUGGGUUUUGUCUUCAGCCCUCGUUUCUGCGGCGGAGAGCAGUACAGCUUCAUAAGGCGGCUUUUCAGCAGAGAAGCCUGCGGUGUUGAACCAGUGCCACGGGGGGCGGGGGAGGGGGGGAGAUUCUUCAAUAGAGCUCGUCUUCUUUCUCAAAAUUAAAGUGGUGACUUGCAGAAAAGCAUAUGUGUAUAAACGACACGUCCAUGUUCUGACAUUCUGUUCCUUUAGGGCUUUUAGUUCCUGUGCUUCUAUAGAGACUGAAGUUGGUUUUUUUUUUUUUUUUUUUUUGGUUUGUUGGUUUGUUUGUUGUGGGGAACGUCGCCCUGUCCAUACAGCUCAGAACUGUCUAGCUAGGUCGCACACAUGCCACGUGGGUUGUCAGCCAUAGUGUCAGCUGAAUUGUAACAGUAAGAGCUUUAUUCCUGAUGAUGCUAUUACCAAGAAUGACUUGUCUCUUA